CCAAUAGCGUAUAUUAAAGUUGUUGCAGUUAAAAAGCUCGUAGUUGAAUUUUGGGAUCAAUGGGUUGGUCAUGCCCUCGGUAUGUACUGAUUUCAUUGGUUCUCACCUUCUAAGGAACCAUGAUGUCAUUCGUUUGAUGUUGUGGGGAAUUAGGACUGUUACCUUGAAAAAAUUAGAGUGUUUAAAGCAGGCUAACGUUUGAAUACAUUAGCAUGGAAUAAUGAAAUAGGACAUCCGAUUCUAUUUUGUUGGUUUUUAGGAUCGAUGUAAUGAUUAAUAGGGAUAGUUGGAGGCAUUAGUAUUCAAUUGUCAGAGGUGAAAUUCUUGGAUUUAUUGAAGACUAACUACUGCGAAAGCAUUUGCCAAGGAUGUUUUCAUUAAUCAAGAACGAAAGUUAGAGGAUCGAAGACGAUCAGAUACCGUCGUAGUCUUAACCAUAAACUAUGCCGACUAGGGAUCGGAUGAUGCUUAUUUUUAAUGACUCAUUCGGCACCUUACG
This 499-nucleotide ribosomal RNA is filed under the name uncultured Glomeromycotina. Its description in RNAcentral is "partial small subunit ribosomal RNA". It matches the Rfam family "Eukaryotic small subunit ribosomal RNA", at positions 591 to 1092 of the family's 1831-position model. Lineage: Eukaryota; Fungi; Glomeromycota. The record is from RNAcentral.